RNAcentral lists this ribosomal RNA (771 nucleotides) under uncultured bacterium. RNAcentral describes it as "bacterial SSU rRNA". It matches the Rfam family "Bacterial small subunit ribosomal RNA", at positions 8 to 796 of the family's 1533-position model. The record is from RNAcentral.
AGAGUUUGAUCAUGGCUCAGGACGAACGCUGGCGGCGUGCUUAACACAUGCAAGUCGAACGGAAAGGCCCUUCGGGGUACUCGAGUGGCGAACGGGUGAGUAACACGUGGGUGAUCUGCCCUGCACUUUGGGAUAAGCCUGGGAAACUGGGUCUAAUACCAAAUAUGACCGCGCACUUCCUGGUGUGUGGUGGAAAGCUUUUGCGGUGUGGGAUGGGCCCGCGGCCUAUCAGCUUGUUGGUGGGGUAAUGGCCUACCAAGGCGACGACGGGUAGCCGGCCUGAGAGGAUGGCCAGCCACAUUGGGACUGAGAUACGGCCCAGACUCCUACGGGAGGCAGCAGUGGGGAAUAUUGCGCAAUGGCCGCAAGGCUGACGCAGCGACGCCGCGUGGGGGAUGAAGCAUUUCGGUGUGUAAACCUCUUUCAGCACAGACGAAGCGCAAGUGACGGUAUGUGCAGAAGAAGGACCGGCCAACUACGUGCCAGCAGCCGCGGUAAUACGUAGGGUCCGAGCGUUGUCCGGAAUUACUGGGCGUAAAGAGCUCGUAGGUGGUUUGUCGCGUUGUUCGUGAAAACUCACAGCUUAACUGUGGGCGUGCGGGCGAUACGGGCAGACUUGAGUACUGCAGGGGAGACUGGAAUUCCUGGUGUAGCGGUGGAAUGCGCAGAUAUCAGGAGGAACACCGGUGGCGAAGGCGGGUCUCUGGGCAGUAACUGACGCUGAGGAGCGAAAGCGUGGGGAGCGAACAGGAUUAGAUACCCCGGUAGUCC